Molecule: ribosomal RNA, 1069 nt
Filed under: uncultured organism
Description: bacterial SSU rRNA
Rfam family: Bacterial small subunit ribosomal RNA
Source: RNAcentral
GCAGCGAUCAGUAGCUGGUCUGAGAGGACGAUCAGCCACACUGGGACUGAGACACGGNCCAGACUCCUACGGGAGGCAGCAGUGGGGACAUUUCGCAAUGGGCGACAGCCUGACGGAGCAAGACCGCGUGAGGGAGGACGGCUCUUGGGUUGUAAACCUCUUUUCUCAGGGAAGAAGCUCUGACGGUACCUGAGGAAUCAGCCUCGGCUAACUCCGUGCCAACAGACGCGGUAAUACGGAGGAGGCAAGCGUUAUCCGGAAUAAUUGGGCGUCCAGCGUCCGCAAGUGGCGAUACACGUCUGCUGUCAAAGCACGGCGCUUAACUCCGUUAAGGCAAGUGGAAACUGAAUAGCUAGAAUUCCUGUAGGGGUAGAGGGAAUUCCCGGUGUACCGGUGAAAUGCGUAGAGAUCGGGAAGAACAUCGGUGGCGAAAGCGCUCUACUGGACGGCAACUGACACUCAGGGACGAAAGCUAGGGGAGCGAAUGGGAUUAGAUACCCCAGUAGUCCUAGCUGUAAACGAUGGAUACUAGGGUGUAGCUUGUAUCGACCCGAGCUUGUGCCGAAGCUAACGCGUUAAGUAUCCCGCCUGGGGAGUACGCACGCAAGUGUGAAACUCAAAGGAAUUGACGGGGGCCCGCACAAGCGGUGGAGUAUGUGGUUUAAUUCGAUGCAACGCGAAGAACCUUACCAGGGCUUGACAUGUCCGGAAUCCCGGUGAAAGCUGGGAGUGCCUUCGGGAGCCGGAACACAGGUGGGUGCAUGGCUGUCGUCAGCUCGUGUCGUGAGAUGUUGGGUUAAGUCCCGCAACGAGCGCAACCCUCGUCUUUAGUUGCCAGCAUUAAGUUGGGCACUCUAGAGAGACUGCCGGUGACAAACCGGAGGAAGGUGGGGAUGACGUCAAGUCAGCAUGCCCCUUACGCUCUGGGCGACACACGUACUACAAUGGUCGGGACAGAGGGCAGCGAACCUGCGAAGGCAAGCUAAUCCCAGCAAACUCGGCCUCAGUUCAGAUCGCAGGCUGCAACUCGCCUGCGUGAAGGAGGAAUCGCUAGUAAUCGCCGGUCAGA